RNAcentral lists this ribosomal RNA (506 nucleotides) under uncultured bacterium. RNAcentral's name for it is "partial 16S ribosomal RNA". It matches the Rfam family "Bacterial small subunit ribosomal RNA", at positions 29 to 523 of the family's 1533-position model. The record is from RNAcentral.
AGUGAACGCUGGCGGUAGGCCUAACACAUGCAAGUCGAACGGCAGCACAGGAGAGCUUGCUCUCUGGGUGGCGAGUGGCGGACGGGUGAGGAAUACAUCGGAAUCUACUCUGUCGUGGGGGAUAACGUAGGGAAACUUACGCUAAUACCGCAUACGACCUACGGGUGAAAGCAGGGGACCUUCGGGCCUUGCGCGAUUGAAUGAGCCGAUGUCGGAUUAGCUAGUUGGCGGGGUAAAGGCCCACCAAGGCGACGAUCCGUAGCUGGGCUGGGAGGAUGAUCAGCCACACUGGAACUGAGACACGGUACAGACGCCUAGGGGAGGCAGCAGUGGGGAAUAUUGGACAAUGGGCGCAAGCCUGAUCCAGCCAUACCGCGUGGGUGAAGAAGGCCUUCGGGUUGUAAAGCCCUUUUGUUGGGAAAGAAAUCCAGCUGGCUAAUACCCGGUUGGGAUGACGGUACCCAAAGAAUAAGCACCGGCUAACUUCGUGCCAGCCGCCGCAGUAA